AGCAGUAGCCGCGGGAAAACGAAGGGUGCAAGCGUUACUCGGAAUUACUGGGCGUAAAGCGUGCGUAGGUGGUGGUUUAAGUCCGUUGUGAAAGCCCUGGGCUCAACCUGGGAAUUGCAGUGGAUACUGGGUCACUAGAGUGUGGUAGAGGAUAGUGGAAUUUCCGGUGUAGCAGUGAAAUGCGUAGAGAUCGGAAGGAACAUCUGUGGCGAAGGCGACUAUCUGGGCCAACACUGACGCUGAGGUGCGAAAGCGUGGGGAGCAAACAGGAUUAGAUACCCCGUAGUCCCUGUCUCUUAUACA
This 303-nucleotide ribosomal RNA is filed under the name uncultured bacterium. RNAcentral's name for it is "partial 16S ribosomal RNA". It matches the Rfam family "Bacterial small subunit ribosomal RNA", at positions 507 to 808 of the family's 1533-position model. The record is from RNAcentral.